Molecule: long non-coding RNA, 1868 nt
Organism: Anser brachyrhynchus (Pink-footed goose)
Lineage: Eukaryota; Metazoa; Chordata; Aves; Anseriformes; Anatidae
Source: Ensembl
UCCUUGAGCCCUUUCCCUUGUAUUUUCUCCCAUUUUUCCUUUGAGGAGGAGGAGUGAGAAAGAGGCUAUGGUGGAGUUCAGCAGCGUAGCAGAGUAAAACCACCAUACAUAUGCACUUUACCCACUGCAGAGUGGUUGAAUGUUGGGGGUUAAAACCAGUGUUUACCUGUUCUUUCACCUUCAUGACUCUUCCACAUCCCCAGCCAUAGGGCAGCCAUCAGUGCCAGGGCUGUCUGCUGGCCUUGGCAGCUUCUGGGUCAGGUCCUGGUCGGGGAGGUCUCUUCAUUGGCUUCAAUGCACUGUGCUCUUGCUGCAGUUUAGAAGAGCUGCAAAGGUUCCAGCUCCUGGGUUUUGAGGCUUCAGAAAACCCCUUAAAGUGUAGAUUUACUGGCACAGACACUGAGGAAAAAAUAUUUUCUGCUUGUCUGUAUUUAUUAUCUCAUAUGCAAGGGGAGACUAAUGCAAUCCUUUGCUAUAUUGCUGUCAAUACAAGUUUCUGCAGUAAGCUCCUCAAUUUUCCCAUAAACUGUCUCUCAUGUUUUCUUCCUCAUCAGUUUUAGAAAGAAAUCGUUAAGUUCCCCUCAGACAGACUCUUACAGUGUUGCAGGUUGGGAGCUUUCUGCUUUAUUGAGCUGCUUCAUAACGUAUGGAAAGAAAUACCUCCUACAAAACAGAAGGCCGAAGAAGACACGAAAUGCACAUCCUGGUGCAUUGCCUGGUCCACAAUGCUGGUGGCUUGAAAAAGGACUCGGGUCCCCAAAUUCCCCAUCAGCAUGCCCUGGGCUCUCCAUUGCCUCCAUUGCCGUGUGCCAGGGAGAGAACGAAAUGUUUAACAGGAUUUAUAAAGCAGAACCAGUUCCUCAGGUGAGGUGAAGGGGCAGCCUGGCGCCCCACCUAGCAAGAAGAUGUUUUGCAGUCCGUGUCUCCUUCCCCUAAGCAAUUUGUAGGGGUGAAGCCUUCUGUUAAUUGCAUCUUCUGGUGAGCACAAAGGUACUUUUCAUCCCAUCCAUGGGCUUGCCAGGACUGGCAGCUGCACGUGCCUUGCAAAUGCUAAUACAAGCCAUGCUUUGGGCAUGCCGUAAGCUGACAGCAAGAUGCCUUUGUAUCGAUUACCUGUGGAAGGAGCAUCUGUCCUCAGUGGGGUUUGAUUGCUGCUCUUUAGGCUCUUAUUUCCACAGACUAUUUCUGAUAAAUCAGUAAAAGUAAACAAGUAGAACAAAUUCUUGUGAGAAGUUUGUGUUUUUUCUUUAAUGGGAUCUUCUGCUGGAAAUUUUCAGGGGCCUGCAAACUGGAAAAUGUUGAAAACCACUAGUUCUCCUCUGUAAAUAGGCAGAGAAUUGGAUGUUCAUGUUUUCUCUGUCUCUUUAAAACUGAGGCAUAAUUGGUGUUUCAGCCCCUUUUGGAAUGGAAUUUAUUUUGACAUAAUCAAUGGGGAGAUUUUCAUUUCUGUCUUUAAUAGGUCAUAUUAUCAUAAUUAAAAUUAAUGUUCUCCCACGGUUUAAAUAUAUUUCCAAUUUUAUCCCUGUGAUCUUUUCAGCAACUUUUUCAAAUUGGAAGUGUCAAGCCCCCUGGGGAAAAGAGGGUCACUAGUACUAAAAUUUGAUCGAUGCUGUAAGGUUGUAAGGUUGCCACUUGAAUUUCUAUUAUGUUCUGGUUUUACAUAGUCCUGAGUAUACAUUUUUAGUUGUUCUUUUUUUUUUUUUUUUGACUGUUGUUUUUAAGGUGGGACUUAGGACUUAGUGAGUGUGUAUCUUGUUGUUUACACAAUGAUGAGCACGAGAAAGUCUUUAUGUUUUACCUUAAAAAAAUCUUUCAAAGUACUGGAAUGGCUUUUGAACAUUAGAUUACAACUCAGCAGAGAAAUGGUC